UACGUAGGGUGCAAGCGUUAAUCGGAAUUACUGGGCGUAAAGCGUGCGCAGGCGGCUUUGCAAGACAGAUGUGAAAUCCCCGGGCUUAACCUGGGAACUGCAUUUGUGACUGCAUGGCUGGAGUGCGGCAGAGGGGGAUGGAAUUCCGCGUGUAGCAGUGAAAUGCGUAGAUAUGCGGAGGAAUACCGAUGGCGAAGGCAGCCCCCUGGGAUAACACUGACGCUCAUGCACGAAAGCGUGGGGAGCAAACAGG
RNAcentral lists this ribosomal RNA (253 nucleotides) under uncultured bacterium. RNAcentral's name for it is "partial 16S ribosomal RNA". It matches the Rfam family "Bacterial small subunit ribosomal RNA", at positions 524 to 776 of the family's 1533-position model. The record is from RNAcentral.